CUGCGUCCCUGAGCAACCUGUGCCAGUGCCUCACCACCCUCCUCGCAAAGGCAUUCCUCUUUAUGUCUAAUCUAAAUCUGCCCCUCUCCAGUUUAUACCCAUUGCCCCUCGUCCUAUCAAUACAAGGCUUUGUAAACAGUCCCUCCCCAAAGAAGGGGAAAAGCUUUUUAGCAGGGCCUGGAGCGAUAGAGCAGGGGGCGAUGCUUUUAAACUAAAAAAGGGUGGAUUCAGGCUGGUUAUGAGGAAGAAAUUUUUGAUGCUGAGGGUGAUGAAACACUGGAACAGGUUCCCAGAGAGGUGCUCGAUACCUCAUCCCUGGAAACACUCCUGGACAGGUUGGAUGGGGCUCUGAGCAACCGGAUCCAGUUGAAGAUGUCCCUACUCGCCGCAGAGGGGUUGGGCCAGAUGACCUUUAUGGUCCCUUCCAACCCAAACCAUUCUAUCAUUUUCUAAGUGAAAAUGAAGAAAACGCACUGGCCAAAUGGGCAGGAAGAUGGUGGUGACGAGGAGCAGCCCCCGUUCUGCAGUUCGGAGCAGGACUGAGUGCCCCGACACUCAAAGGCGCUGCUGAAGCAAGCGUGAGUUUCACAUCUCGAUCACCAAACUUCCCUUCCAUGCUGCAGAACUGAGUUCCCCACGUGGAUUUAUGUUUCUCAGGCUGAUCCUUACAAAUGUUUUCCAAUGUAACUGUCAGGACAAAUCGUGAGCUGUGGAACCCGUGAGGCACCAGCUCCCAGCCCACCGGGAUGCUGCGUCUGGUUCCUUCAGCCACACUGCCCAUGCUGUGCAUCAAGGCUCCCACAGCUGUGCUGAGCAUCGUGCGUGGAACAUGCACACCCACGCGCUCCUGCCAGAUCAUGCCCUAGAUUCGUGUAGCAGAAAUGUGAUAAAUUUCCUGCCUGGUUCCUCCUCGCAACCACAGACGAGGAUGCUCGGUUUUCUCCUCACCUUGUGUAACUGCCGUCUGCAUCGAGACAACACACGCUCUUGCCCUGAGAGAUGCAGCCAUGUUCGAACUGAUGCUGUGAUUAAAGAGUGACCUAAUGUUCAUCAUCUCAGGCAGAGGAAGCCCAAGAGGCGGUCACCAAAUCAGAAAGCUCCUUUGUGAAGAGGUACCUCCAGGGAUGGUGACUCAACCACCUCCCUGGGCAGCUGUUCCAGGGCCUGAUAACCCUUCUGGUGAAGAAAUUUUCCCUGAUGUCUAAUCUCAAUCUCCCCUGGUGCAACCUGAAGCCAUUUCCUCUAGUCCUAUCACUUGGGAGAAGAGAGCAACACCCACCUCGCUACAAC
This is a long non-coding RNA of Cuculus canorus (common cuckoo), 1290 nucleotides long. RefSeq lists it as uncharacterized. NCBI's taxonomy places the organism in Eukaryota, Metazoa, Chordata, Aves, Cuculiformes, Cuculidae. The record is from RefSeq and is a predicted model, not a curated record. The transcript is spliced from 3 exons.